AGGAUGAACGCUAGCGGCAGGCCUAAUACAUGCAAGUCGAACGGUGUCUAGCAAUAGGCAUAGUGGCGCACGGGUGCGUAACACGUAACUAACCUACCCAGAACUGGGGGAUAGCCCGCCGAAAGGCGGAUUAAUACCGCAUAAUACACUUACCUGGCAUCAGGUGUUUGUUAAAGAUUUAUUGGUUUUGGAUGGGGUUGCGGGUCAUUAGCUAGUUGGUAAGGUAACGGCUUACCAAGGCGACGAUGACUAGGGGAGCUGAGAGGCUGGUCCCCCACACGGGCACUGAGAUACGGGCCCGACUCCUACGGGAGGCAGCAGUAGGGAAUAUUGGGCAAUGGGCGAGAGCCUGACCCAGCCAUGCCGCGUGCAGGAAGAAGGCUUUCUGAGUCGUAAACUGCUUUUGAUAGGGAAGAAUAAGGUGGUCGUGACCACUGAUGACGGUACCUACAGAAUAAGCACCGGCUAACUCCGUGCCAGCAGCCGCGGUAAUACGGAGGGUGCGAGCGUUGUCCGGAUUUAUUGGGUUUAAAGGGUGCGUAGGCGGCCGUUUAAGUCUGGGGUGAAAGCCCGUUGCUCAACAACGGAACUGCCCUGGAUACUGGAUGGCUUGAGUACAGACGAGGUUGG
RNAcentral lists this ribosomal RNA (630 nucleotides) under uncultured bacterium. RNAcentral's name for it is "bacterial SSU rRNA". It matches the Rfam family "Bacterial small subunit ribosomal RNA", at positions 26 to 661 of the family's 1533-position model. The record is from RNAcentral.